AUGCAGCACCGAGGCUUCCUCCUUCUCACCCUCCUCGCCCUGCUGGCGCUCACCUCCGCAGUAGCCAAAGAGAGCGAGUGUGCCUGGGGGCCCUGCACCCCCAGCAGCAAGGAUUGCCGCGUGGGUUUCCGCGAGGGCACCUGCAGGGCCAGACCUAGCGCACCCGAUGCAGGGUGCCCUGCAACUGGAAGGAGUUUGGAGCCGACUGCAAGUACAAGUUUGAGAACUGGGGUGCGUGUGAUGGGGGCGCAGGCACCAAAGUCCGCCAAGGCAUACUGAAGAAGGCGCGCUGCAAUGCCCAGUGCCAGGAGACCAUCCGCGUCAUGAAGCCCUGCAACCCCAAGACCAAAGCCAAGGCCAAAGCCAAGAAAGGGAAGGGAAAGGACUAGAGGCCAAGCCUGGAUGCCAAGGAACCCCUGGUGUUACAUGGGGCCUGGCCCACGCCCUCCCUCUUCCAGGCCCGAGAUAUGACCCACCAGUGCCUUCUGUCUGCUCCUUACCUUUAAUCAAUCAUUCCCUGCCUUGUCCCUCUCACUCCUCAGCCCCACCCCUAAGUGCCCAAAGUAGGGAGGGACAAGGGAUUCUGGGAAGCCUUAGCCUCCCCCAAAGCAAUGUGAGUCCCAGAGCCCGCUUUUGUUCUUCCCCACAAUUCCAUUACUAAGAAACACAUCAAAUAAACUGACUUUUU
Molecule: RNA transcript, 688 nt
Organism: Rhinopithecus roxellana (golden snub-nosed monkey)
Lineage: Eukaryota; Metazoa; Chordata; Mammalia; Primates; Cercopithecidae
Gene name: midkine pseudogene
Exons: 1
Source: RefSeq, a predicted model, not a curated record